Molecule: long non-coding RNA, 443 nt
Organism: Manacus vitellinus (golden-collared manakin)
Lineage: Eukaryota; Metazoa; Chordata; Aves; Passeriformes; Pipridae
Exons: 5
Source: RefSeq, a predicted model, not a curated record
GAGUAGGCUGCAAUUUUAAGGACCUCAGAAUUUUGCUACUGGCUCUCAGUGGUGGACUUUGCCAGAAAACUCUGUUGCAACCGGUUGGUAGAUGUCUGGUGCACAGGAGAUCAGAGAGCAACUCUGCAGAUCAUCAUACAUGUGGUACUGAAGAACAAUCUGAUGGAUCUUGUUUUUCCAAAGCACAGAGCUAAGAUUUGGGAACCUCACUGAGUGAAUCAGAUGAGCGUGAUGCGAAGAGCCAAGAAAUGGAGAAUCAAAAUAUCUUGGGACAGCAAGGUUUUCAAUUGAGAUCACUACCCUAAUACGCAACGAGCUGCACAGAAGAGGAACAUUGCUAGAAUUCACAUCCUAGCUGCAGAAAAGCAUCCUGUGAAGCAGUCACUAUGCAGGAGAUUGCAAGUAAGGAAAUCUGAAUUUGAAUGGCAACUGUCUCCCCCAUG